CCGUCGAAAACAGUCAGUUACAGGAUGAAGUAAAUGAGCUGAAGUGCAGAAUUAAAGUUGUUACUUUAAAUCUGAGAAGGACUAUUGGUUUGGAAGCAAAGAUGACUGUGAGCAAAGAGGAGCACAUCUGGUCGUCAUAAACAACGAAGAGGUACAGAAGUUUGUCACUGACCUGAGUAAGGAUGAAGAGUACUGGAUUGGUCUAAGGGGUCAACAGAGCCAAGGAGAAUGGGAAUGGGUUGACGGAUCACCGCUGACAGAAACGUUCUGGGCAUCAGGACUGCUUCACAAUCAUGGUAACUUUAAUGCUGCAACAUGUUGCGAUCAACAAGGAAAAUGGACACAAACAAGAAGAUUUGGUGACCUUAAGAAGUUCAUCUGUGAGAAAGAGAUUCUCUGAACUCUGUGAUGACAGAGGGGGUGUAGUGUUGGGAUCAGCUUUGUCAAAUCAGACUAAUUAACAUUUUGCUCAGUAGUUUAUUCUGUGUUGCUAAAUAACCUGGAUUACAUAGAUAUCGUCCCUCUGCCCUUCAUAGUGCAUAAUCUGGUUAGAAGUCAUGAGCACUUAAGGCCUCUUUACAGCUGCCGUUCCUGACCUGUGGCGCGACAAUGUGACGUCAAAAUGACGUAGAUCUCGCUGCCGUGCCAGAAUUUUUAGUAUGCGACCAGAGGUCAUGCAGUGGCGCGUGACAGUUUGAGGGUAACCGGACGCCAGGACUCUGAGUGACUGCAAGUCUCUCUUGUAAACUUACAUGUGUUAAAAUGAGUCCUUUUAUGAUGAAUGAAAGGCUUGAUCUGACCAAGUACCUCAUUGAAUUGUUGUACAGACAUUCUGAAGUAUUUAAAGCGCUUCUCUUCUUCUAUCAUCCUCAUUUGUUUCACAAGGAUAUUGAACUCACCAUAUUCAUGUCUGGCGUUAUUCAAAGGACAAACAUUCCACCUUCUUUUCCAUUUUUUUGCGAGCAGGCUCAAAAGCAGCUGUUCUUCCUCAUUCAUUGAGUCCAAUAUUAUCUUAGCCACUGUUGACAUUGACAUUGACGUCAAUGCUGCUGCCAGUUCUGCCGUCGUUUACCUUUUUCUUCUUCUUCUAGUCUAUAGAAAUAGCAAAGUCGGUAGCCUUUCCU
Long non-coding RNA from Perca fluviatilis (European perch), 1124 nucleotides. RefSeq lists it as uncharacterized. The transcript has 4 exons. NCBI's taxonomy places the organism in Eukaryota, Metazoa, Chordata, Actinopteri, Perciformes, Percidae. The record is from RefSeq and is a predicted model, not a curated record.